RNAcentral lists this ribosomal RNA (496 nucleotides) under uncultured bacterium. RNAcentral describes it as "partial 16S ribosomal RNA". It matches the Rfam family "Bacterial small subunit ribosomal RNA", at positions 28 to 505 of the family's 1533-position model. The record is from RNAcentral.
GAUGAACGCUGGCGGCGUGCCUAAUACAUGCAAGUCGAGCGAACAGACGAGGAGCUUGCUCCUCUGACGUUAGCGGCGGACGGGUGAGUAACACGUGGAUAACCUACCUAUAAGACUGGGAUAACUUCGGGGAAACCGGAGCUAAUACCGGAUAAUAUAUUGAACCGCAUGGUUCAAUAGUGAAAGACGGUUUUGCUGUCACUUAUAGAUGGAUCCGCGCCGCAUUAGCUAGUUGGUAAGGUAACGGCUUACCAAGGCAACGAUGCGUAGCCGACCUGAGAGGGUGAUCGGCCACACUGGAACUGAGACACGGUCCAGACUCCUACGGGGGGCAGCAGUAGGGAAUCUUCCGCAAUGGGCGAAAGCCUGACGGAGCAACGCCGCGUGAGUGAUGAAGGUCUUCGGAUCGUAAAACUCUGUUAUUAGGGAAGAACAAAUGUGUAAGUAACUAUGCACGUCUUGACGGUACCUAAUCAGAAAGCCACGGCUAACUACG